RNAcentral lists this long non-coding RNA (444 nucleotides) under Piliocolobus tephrosceles (Ugandan red Colobus). RNAcentral's name for it is "lncRNA (ENSPTEG00000030220.1)". Lineage: Eukaryota; Metazoa; Chordata; Mammalia; Primates; Cercopithecidae. The record is from RNAcentral.
CCGGGCUAUACAGAGUCCCACAUGCAGACACCUUCCUGCCCAGCAUCUCUUCUCCCAGGAACUGGGCCUCAACCCAUCCUGGGCCCCGUGGCUGUUUUAGCUGCAGGUGAUGCAACCCGGCAGCUGGGCUUGAGGCUGUCUCUGCACAGAGCAGCAGGAAGGCCUUUGCUGGGAUUCCUACAUCUCCGGAGGAGGGACCUGCAGUGGCUCCACCACCCUGACGAGAUCAGGCCGGAGGACAUGGCAUGAAGGGAUAUUUCUGUGGUGGUAAUCACUGCUCCUCACUUUUCUGUCCUGUUAAAGUGGAAAACAUGCACCUGUGUCAGAACUGGAGAAUGAGGGUUCAAUACCCGGCUCUGCGACCUAUGUUCUGUGAGCUUCGCUAGUCCUUUCAGCUCUCUAAAUGGGAGGAUUGCGAGAGACGGAGGCUGUGGGACAUGCUGG